CCUACGGGGGGCAGCAGUGGGGGAUAUUGCACAAUGGGGGAAACCCUGAUGCAGCGACGCCGCGUGUGGGAAGACGGUCUUCUGGAUUGUAAACCACUGUCCCCAGGGACGAAAAUGACGGUACCUGGGGAGGAAGCUCCGGCUAACUACGUGCCAGCAGCCGCGGUAAUACGUAGGGAGCAAGCGUUGUCCGGAAUUACUGGGUGUAAAGGGAGCGUAGGCGGGGAUGCAAGUUGGGUGUCAAAACUACCGGCUCAACCGAUAGUCGCACUCAAAACUGCAACUCUUGAGUGAAGUAGAGGCAGGCGGAAUUCGUGGUGUAGCGGUGAAAUGCGUAGAUAUUAGGAGGAACACCAGUGGCGAAGGCGGCCUGCUGGGCUUUUACUGACGCUGAGGCUCGAAAGUGUGGGGAGCAAACAGGAUUAGAUACCCUGGUAGUC
RNAcentral lists this ribosomal RNA (440 nucleotides) under uncultured bacterium. Its description in RNAcentral is "partial 16S ribosomal RNA". It matches the Rfam family "Bacterial small subunit ribosomal RNA", at positions 338 to 795 of the family's 1533-position model. The record is from RNAcentral.